Molecule: ribosomal RNA, 314 nt
Filed under: uncultured bacterium
Lineage: Bacteria
Description: bacterial SSU rRNA
Rfam family: Bacterial small subunit ribosomal RNA
Source: RNAcentral
GAUGAACGCUAGCUACAGGCUUAACACAUGCAAGUCGAGGGGCAGCAUUAUCUUAGCUUGCUAAGAUAGAUGGCGACCGGCGCACGGGUGAGUAACACGUAUCCAACCUUCCGGUUACUCGGGGGUAGGCUUUCGAAAGAAAGAUUAAUACCCGAUGUUGCGUAUCUUUCUCCUGAAAGAUACGCCAAAGGAUUCCGGUAGACGAUGGGGAUGCGUUCCAUUAGAUAGUAGGCGGGGUAACGGCCCACCUAGUCUUCGAUGGAUAGGGGUUCUGAGAGGAAGGUCCCCCACAUUGGAACUGAGACACGGUCCAA